This 503-nucleotide ribosomal RNA is filed under the name uncultured archaeon. RNAcentral describes it as "bacterial SSU rRNA". It matches the Rfam family "Archaeal small subunit ribosomal RNA", at positions 352 to 859 of the family's 1478-position model. The record is from RNAcentral.
GCAAUGCACGCAAGUGUGACGGGGCUACCCCGAGUGCCGUCCGCUGAGGAUGGCUUUUCCUUGGUGUAACUAGCCGGGGGAAUAAGGAGAGUGCAAGACUGGUGUCAGCCGCCGCGGUAAUACCAGCUCUCCGAGUAGUGUGGAUGUUUAUUGGGCCUAAAGCAUCCGUAGCUUGCUAAGCAAGUCCCCUGUUAAAUCCACCGAUUAAUCGAUGGUUUGCGGGGGAUACUGUUUGGCUAGGGGACGGGAGAGGUCGACGGUAUUUCCGGGGUAGGGGUGAAAUCCUAUAAUCCCGGGAGGACCACCAGUGGCGAAGGCUGUCGACUAGAACGCGCCCGACGGUGAGGGAUGAAAGCUGGGGGAGCGAACCGGAUUAGAUACCCGGGUAGUCCCAGCUGUAAACGAUGCAGGCUAGGUGUUUGGGCGGCCACGAGCCGCCCUAGUGCCGCAGGGAAGCUGUUAAGCCUGCCGCCUGGGGAGUACGGCCCAAGGCUGAAACUUUA